UACGGAGGAUGCAAGCGUUAUCCGGAUUUAUCGGGUUUAAAGGGUGCGCAGGUUGUUUGAUAAGUCAGUGGUGAAAGUCUGUCGCUUAACGGUAGGAUUGCCAUUGAUACUGUUGGACUUGAAUAUGGAUGAGGUAGGCGGAAUGUGUAGUGUAGCGGUGAAAUGCAUAGAUAUUACACAGAACACCGAUUGCGAAGGCAGCUUACUAAUCCAUCAUUGACGCUGAGGCACGAAAGCGUGGGGAUCAAACAGGA
RNAcentral lists this ribosomal RNA (254 nucleotides) under uncultured prokaryote. RNAcentral describes it as "partial 16S ribosomal RNA". It matches the Rfam family "Bacterial small subunit ribosomal RNA", at positions 524 to 777 of the family's 1533-position model. The record is from RNAcentral.